Molecule: ribosomal RNA, 449 nt
Filed under: uncultured bacterium
Lineage: Bacteria
Description: partial 16S ribosomal RNA
Rfam family: Bacterial small subunit ribosomal RNA
Source: RNAcentral
AACGAACGCUGGCGGCAUGCCUAACACAUGCAAGUCGAACGAAGGCUUCGGCCUUAGUGGCGCACGGGUGAGUAACGCGUGGGAAACUGCCUAUUGGUGGGGAAUAACGACGGGAAACUGUCGCUAAUACCGCAUAAGCCCUUCGGGGGACAGAUUUAUCGCCGAGAGAUGGGCCCGCGUCCGAUUAGCUAGUUGGUGAGGUAAUGGCUCACCAAGGCGACGAUCGGUAGCUGGUCUGAGAGGAUGAUCAGCCACACUGGGACUGAGACACGGCCCAGACUCCUACGGGAGGCAGCAGUGGGGAAUAUUGGACAAUGGGCGAAAGCCUGAUCCAGCAAUGCCGCGUGAGUGAUGAAGGCCUUAGGGUUGUAAAGCUCUUUCGGGUGGGACGAUGAUGACGGUACCACCAGAAGAAGCCCCGGCUAACUUCNUGCCAGCCGCCGCAGUAA